This 401-nucleotide long non-coding RNA is filed under the name Eucalyptus grandis. RNAcentral describes it as "long non-coding RNA (EGRA_LNC003284)". The record is from RNAcentral. Lineage: Eukaryota; Viridiplantae; Streptophyta; Magnoliopsida; Myrtales; Myrtaceae.
AAGAAGAGGGAAUCUCCGGAAAAGCGAUCUCCAGGAGCUACGGGGAGAGAGGCUUCGCAUUGCAGGGGUUAGAGGUCCUAAAAUCAAUCGCAGACCGCACCCCUCGCUGCCACCGCCGGCCGGAGGAGACUCCGUUCGCUGAAGACGACGCGGGCUCUAACCGAUUUUCCCCUUUCCCCUCCGAUUCUUCGUCCUGUUUUCUUCUUUUUUUUCAAGCCAGAGAGAGAAACUUUGUGCGAAGUCUCGAGAGAGAGAGAGCGUCCGUGCCCCCAGCGAAUCCCCCCGAAGAGAGAGAGAGAUUCCGUGAGGAGAGAGAGUGAGUGCCUGAGGAGAGAGUGAGUGCGUCAGGAGAGACCGUCCGUAUGAGGAGAGAGACCCCUUUUUGCAGUCCGCGAUUCCCC